ACCGGUGUGGCUCAGUGGAUAGAGCGUCGGUCUGUGGACUGAAAGGUCCCAGGUUCGAUUCUGGUCAACGGCA
Molecule: non-coding RNA, 73 nt
Organism: Myotis brandtii (Brandt's bat)
Lineage: Eukaryota; Metazoa; Chordata; Mammalia; Chiroptera; Vespertilionidae
Source: Rfam